AUUGAACGCUGGCGGCAGGCCUAACACAUGCAAGUCGGACGGUAGCACAGAGGAGCUUGCUCCUCGGGUGACGAGUGGCGGACGGGUGAGUAAUGUCUGGGGAUCUGCCCGAUAGAGGGGGAUAACCACUGGAAACGGUGGCUAAUACCGCAUAACGUCGCAAGACCAAAGAGGGGGACCUUCGGGCCUCUCACUAUCGGAUGAACCCAGAUGGGAUUAGCUAGUAGGCGGGGUAAUGGCCCACCUAGGCGACGAUCCCUAGCUGGUCUGAGAGGAUGACCAGCCACACUGGAACUGAGACACGGUCCAGACUCCUACGGGAGGCAGCAGUGGGGAAUAUUGCACAAUGGGCGCAAGCCUGAUGCAGCCAUGCCGCGUGUAUGAAGAAGGCCUUCGGGUUGUAAAGUACUUUCAGCGGGGAGGAAGGCGAUGUGGUUAAUAACCUUGUCGAUUGACGUUACCCGCAGAAGAAGCACCGGCUAACUCCGUGCCAGCCGCCGCAGUAA
RNAcentral lists this ribosomal RNA (506 nucleotides) under uncultured bacterium. RNAcentral's name for it is "partial 16S ribosomal RNA". It matches the Rfam family "Bacterial small subunit ribosomal RNA", at positions 30 to 523 of the family's 1533-position model. The record is from RNAcentral.